Lethenteron reissneri (Far Eastern brook lamprey) is the source of this 605-nucleotide long non-coding RNA. RefSeq lists it as uncharacterized. NCBI's taxonomy places the organism in Eukaryota, Metazoa, Chordata, Hyperoartia, Petromyzontiformes, Petromyzontidae. The record is from RefSeq and is a predicted model, not a curated record.
CAAGGUCCGGCAUCGCGGACACCACAAGGGAUUAGACAUCCUCCGAUUAGCACGGGUGGCUACGUAUGGUGCAAAAGAAGUUCAACGUACAGUCACUCACCCACACACUCUCACCCACACACUCUCACCCACCCACACACCCAUCCUCCGAUUAGCACGGUCACGUACGGUGCGAAGCAAGUUCAAGGGAUGUCCAGCGCGACACGACCGACUGUCGACAUCCUCAAGCCCUACCCAUCACCUCCCAUCCAGAGGCGCACACGGGGAAAACAGAGAUGCCCGGGAGUUUUCACGGGUGUACAGCAGAAAUCAAGAGACCAGGAACACGUUCCUUCGGAGUGGGCAGGAACGCAUCGACCGCGUUAAACAAGGACUCGCUAUGGGUAAAACUACGGCCGGCUGUUCGUGGGAACGCUCAAGCAGCCGUGAUGACCACCACCAAAAGUCGUCAUCCACCCAGGUCUGCUGGCAGCAACAUCGUUACUCCUUGGCAUAGUUUUCUCGAGGAAAGCCCCUCAUGCUGGAGAGGUCACAGAUCACUAUACAGUAACCAUGAGAAUUGGACUUACAAAAAACGUAUUUGAUCGUAUCACUCAAUGUUCCAU